RNAcentral lists this ribosomal RNA (474 nucleotides) under Pseudomonas sp. BH12.3. RNAcentral describes it as "partial 16S ribosomal RNA". The record is from RNAcentral. Lineage: Bacteria; Pseudomonadati; Pseudomonadota; Gammaproteobacteria; Pseudomonadales; Pseudomonadaceae.
GCCGGUGCUUAUUCUGUCGGUAACGUCAAAACAAUAACGUAUUAGGUUACUGCCCUUCCUCCCAACUUAAAGUGCUUUACAAUCCGAAGACCUUCUUCACACACGCGGCAUGGCUGGAUCAGGCUUUCGCCCAUUGUCCAAUAUUCCCCACUGCUGCCUCCCGUAGGAGUCUGGACCGUGUCUCAGUUCCAGUGUGACUGAUCAUCCUCUCAGACCAGUUACGGAUCGYAGCCUUGGUGAGCCAUUACCUCACCAACUAGCUAAUCCGACCUAGGCUCAUCUAUUAGCGCAAGGCCCGAAGGUCCCCUGCUUUCUCCCGUAGGACGUAUGCGGUAUUAGCGUUCCUUUCGAAACGUUGUCCCCCACUAAUAGGCAGAUUCCUAGGCAUUACUCACCCGUCCGCCGCUGAAUCGAAGAGCAAGCUCUUCUCAUCCGCUCGACUUGCAUGUGUUAGGCCUGCCGCCAGCGUUCAAU